AUUGAACGCUGGCGGCAGGCCUAACACAUGCAAGUCGAGCGGUAGAGAGAAGCUUGCUUCUCUUGAGAGCGGCGGACGGGUGAGUAAUGCCUAGGAAUCUGCCUGGUAGUGGGGGAUAACGUUCGGAAACGGACGCUAAUACCGCAUACGUCCUACGGGAGAAAGCAGGGGACCUUCGGGCCUUGCGCUAUCAGAUGAGCUUAGGUCGGAUUAGCUAGUUGGUGAGGUAAUGGCUCACCAAGGCGACGAUCCGUAACUGGUCUGAGAGGAUGAUCAGUCACACUGGAACUGAGACACGGUCCAGACUCCUACGGGAGGCAGCAGUGGGGAAUAUUGGACAAUGGGCGAAAGCCUGAUCCAGCCAUGCCGCGUGUGUGAAGAAGGUCUUCGGAUUGUAAAGCACUUUAAGUUGGGGGGAAGGGUUGUAGAUUAAUACUCUGCAAUUUUGACGUUACCGACAGAAUAAGCACCGGCUAACUCUGUGCCAGCAGCCGCCGUAA
This 500-nucleotide ribosomal RNA is filed under the name uncultured bacterium. RNAcentral describes it as "partial 16S ribosomal RNA". It matches the Rfam family "Bacterial small subunit ribosomal RNA", at positions 30 to 523 of the family's 1533-position model. The record is from RNAcentral.